UUGGUUAAGUGACAGCUGCAAAUCUCUCAUUUUCAAAAAUUCUUUGAUUCCUUUCAACUCCCUCUGCACAAUGACAGACCUUUAGUCCUUCAAUAUGUAAGGCAAACUGCUUCAAAUGGCUAACAGGGUUGCUCAUUAAGAUCCCAAGUGCAGCUAAUAAUAAAUUCUAACUUGAAGGAUGUUGAUACAGCAUCUAGAAUACAAAAGAAGGCCAAAACAACAAAGGAGAAGUAAAGCUCAUAACUCGCUCCUUAGCUAGCAAGAAGCAUGCCUUUUGAUGGUAAUAACCAAAACACUGCCCUGGAAGUGUUGGCGAGAUUAGCUUCUCAUAUUAUGUGAAAGUUUCAAAAAAUGGAAAAAGUACAGACCACAAAUCCAUGUAGACUAUUCAAUCAAUAAAACAUACUUAGCAUUGAUGCUAGCAAAUCUUGCACAAAUUAAUAUGCAAUAAAUGGAAACAUAUGAAUGCUAAAAGAAAAGAAAAUCAAUUUAAUCUCUUUUAUAUUUGAGAAGAAUGAUAAAGAAGGCCAUGAAGAAUUCAAGGGAAGGGGUGCUUGUGAGAAGCUCAUAAUGUCUGCUUUAUAUUAAAGUCAGUUAAAAGAUAAUAAAAUUUAAAGAACGGAAGCAGGGGAUUCUGAAAGGUUUCCACUCAUAGCAAAAGAAGCGGAGAAGUUUAGCAGAAAGGGGAGCCUCAAGUCAGCCAGUUCUUGGAUCAACAACCUAGGGAUGUGGAGAGGCCCCAUGCCAGCUGUAGAAAUCCCAGUUAUAGAGAGAAAAGGAAGAAAGAGGAAGGAGGUGAAAACCUAAAAGUAACAGAAGCCAAGGGAGAGGAGGAAAACCCUAGCAAAACCCAACAUUUAGCUUUUUGGUACAAACUCUAAAUUUAGUUGGAGGAACAUGUGUGACAUCUAUUCAAAAAAAUUAGCAGUGAAGGGUGGUACAAGUGAAAAAGUAAAAUAGUUAGAACAAUUACAGCAAAGCCUACUGACAUCAAUUAUAAUAACCUUUAUAACUGUUAUACAAAUACUGUACAAAAAAUUAACUCAAAUGUUUUCAGAUUUUUCAAGGAAAAAAAGUUUUCCAAAUAAUUUCCUGCAACCAAACCAAGGUUUGCUAUAACAAUACAAGGUAUCAUACCAGUACCCCGCCAAUAUGAUAUGGUAUGCCAAGUAAAAUGCAGUAUAGCUCAUGUACCGACAUAGGUUCGGGAGACCCUUUUCUCCUGCCCAAUCAUCAUUAGAAACCAAGUGGUAUAGGUCGGUAUAACAUGAAACUAGUCUAACUUGGGUUUCUUGGGUACCCUUUACCACGCAUUGAUAGCUCUAUGGUAGUCUUGGUUUGAUGAAUCAUUUUUCUGAUUCUAAGUUUUUUUUAAUUCACAUAUUAAGCAUUCAAAAAAGUCACUAGUCCUUUUACUCUUUUUUCUUCGUCCUAAGUUUAAUUAUCAUUUGCUGGAAAAUAAAAAUAAAUUCUUCAGCAUCUCUUGUUAUAUAAGACUCUCAUUACUUCAUUUACUGGAAAUUGCAUAUUUCAUCUCAUGCCAGAAAUUUGUUGCUUCAAUAUGGUUUAAUGUAGUUUAGCUAUUAAAUUAAUGGUCACUUCUCACUACAAUGUGUAGAUUUGGUAGCAAUUGCAAUUUCCAAUAGAAAGAUGAUCAUAAAUGAGUUUACUUAACUUCUGAAUUGACCUUCAUUAUUUGGUGCAGCUAUUUUGUGGCAGCAGUCAUCUUGCAAAGCUCAUGGAAUCUUUUAUUAGCUUCCGUGGAUUUAUAUGCUCUUCUAGUCAAGCACUGCUUGAGGAACCCCUUUGAGCUCUUCUUUUUCACCAUUAAUGACGGGGUAAGAAAAAAUUGAGUACAUUUUCAUACAUGAUAAGAUGUUCAGAAAUAAUAUAUAAAUACUUUAUAAUUGAUUUCAUCUAUAUAUAUCCUUCCUGAUGCUUAAGAUAUUCUGUUUCAAGUAUCUUAAAUCUAUGCUUAGAUCUGUAUAUUGGUCUCCAUUUGCAUAUCUCUCCCGUUCGCUUAUUUCCUUAAGUCAUAUAACUUUAUUGCCCCUCCUCUCUUUUUGACCACGUAAGCCCCAUGAUUUUAAUCAUAGCAACAUAAUGGAUUGCUGAGAUUAAAAAGAACAAAGGCAUGCCUUUUUGCGCCAGGGCUUCACUUCAAGGCACAGAAAGUACGUGUUUUUUCUGUGUCUAAGUAAAGUCACUCACCUCAAGGAAGGCAAGGUGCUAAGGUUGCAGCCUUGGUGCGCCUUGCACCUUAGGUGCACCUUUAACAACUUUGAAUUUUGUAUUUGUUUUAAAAUUUAGGAAGAAAGAAUUUUGACACCAUUAUCUCAAAAAACAAGCAGGAUGCUCUUAUUUUUUUUAUUCUAACAUAGCCCAUGUGCCAAAACAAGGUAGGUCUCGAAGUGCAGGCUAUUGUCCUUUUUAAACAAUAGGUCUCAAAGUCAAGGCUAAUGUCCUUGUUUAAACACACGUGCCCACAAAUAUAAGAGGAUCCUCAUCCAAUUUUUAGUACAACAUAGUUUCAGUAGGGGGUGUUUAAUGUCAGGCUUGCAUGAGCUUUCUUCCAUUUUCAGAAGCAACUUCAAAGCACUCCCUUCUUGGGAGUGACACGGGCAGCAGAAAUCAGGGUCUUCUAUUUAGUUCUGUUUGGAGAAAUUCCACUCUUGCAGAUCACCUCACAUAUGAUUGGCAUCAGCUUGCUCUACCUAGUAUAUGAAUCAAUGAAGCCUCGGGUGUGAAACCAACCCUCGUCAUCUUGUCAAAAACCUUCAAAAAGUUUUGAGGGUUUCCUUUGCGUUACUAUGGUAUAAGUCACAACAUUCCGAGGACAUCCAAGGGCAUGCAUCUCAUCAAGAAUAGCAUCAUCCAUUCAAAAAAUUUUCUCCAUGAAACACAAUUCAAUCAGACUAGUAUAUGUGGUCACACAAGGAUAAAAACAAAAUUCUUUCAUUUCCUCCAUAGUCCAUUGAGCCUCUUCGGAUUUUCGUGCUUUGCACCGCUCAGCAUUAAACCUACCUGGAUUGAUAUGUAUCUCAUUCCUUAGCUCUAGAAAGGCAUCAUACGUGUCCUUAACAGUCGUCUCCAUACGCAAGGGAUCCAAGACUACAUUCAUGGCUAAAGCAUCUUUUUUAACACAGAAUUUCUCUAUGUUAUGAAAGGUCUUUAUGGCUUAAUUCUAUCUAAAGGCUCUAGCAAGCCUUCUCGUCACUUUUAUCAUCAUUGAUAGUGAGAUGAAACCCCAAGCCAAACCAUCUCAACAAUCAAUCCCCACAUCACAUCAAAGCACUUUCAUUUUUCUAGAUGCCAACCAUCAUGUCCUAAGAGUCAAAAGAAUGUCUAUAGCCUAUUUUAGUACCAGGACAUAUGAAGAAACCAUAUGUUGGAAUCCAAUCACCGCUAAACCUCUUCAAAAUCUUAUCAACCAAACCCUUUGAGAUUUUGACAAAGCAAUAAUCAAGCAUUCCAAAUACCGCUUCAGGAGACACAAAUUUGGAUUUCGAAAUCCUACUAAUAUCGUCAAGAUCAACAUUUUUAACAGCAUGAUACAAAACUCUAACAUCAGCCGUGCAAUCAUGGGCCCUCCUAUUAUUGAUAAUCCAAUGUUUUAAAACCUAGGCCAUUGAUCAAACCCUGGAAAGAAACAGGGUCACAGGUCACCGAUUCGACCGUUAGGUCACCUGGAAUUGAACCACGACAUCAUGACGACAUAAUAAAUAUAUUAAUUGUUAAUUAUUUGUAUAUGAGAAAAGUAAAUUAAGAUUAUAAAUAUAUGCAGAAAAAAUAUAAAGAAUGAUAGUUGUUAGCAUUUUUCUUAUAUACUUUUACUACUCUUUAAUCUUUAUUAUUACAUGGUAUUAUAAUAAUGCAAAAUAUCAUUGCAUCACUGUGAAUGGAGAGUCCUAACCGAAUUAGUUUAGGUAAAAUAGUUUCAAUUCAUUGAACUACAUUGGGGUUUUCUCUCAUAUAUCAUAACUCAUCAAUUAAAGAGCUGAUUCAUAAUAAGGUAAUAAACAAACUUAACUAACGGCACUGAUUCAUUGAACUAGUUAAAUAUAUAUAAGGGAGGAGGGAAGAGAUAGAAUCGGAGUUAUUCAUGGAGAGUCGAGCGAUGGUGAGAACCAAUUGCAAUUAGGUCAGAAUCAGACCACGUCAUGAUUCUGAGCAAGAUGAGAGCUAGCCAUUUACUAAAACAAAAAAGGGGCAUGGGACAUGUUAAUGCAUGUUAGGGUUCUUCAAGUCACUGAAGCAUCAACUCAGAGGCAUUUAGAGAAUAACUAACACCGAAAAAAGGGAAAAGUCGACAGCUUUCAAGCAAGAAAAGAGUUCGUCAUUUGUACCAACAUGUAAACGGCGUCACUAUGCAUCGUUAUAGUUCCAGGGCAACAGGUGGGUAUUACGAUUCCACCAGGGAAAGCUUGGGGGAGACGAAAAAACAAAGGAGAGAAGAAGAAGAAGAAGAUUUGAAAAGAAAGAAGGACUGACAAACCUGUGAUUGGGUACGAAGUUUAGCGGAUAAAAGAAAAAGAAAAAGAAAAAGAAUUGGAAGUUGACAUCCUCCCAGCAGCGCAUCGGAAGACGGCAGUGGGGACUUCACAAGGGAAGCAAAAGAAGUGGAGGGAAUGAAGCAAAUGAGUAAAUACGAGAGAGGGAGAGAGAGAGCGCACACCUGGUGGAUGGCGCCGGGGCGGCGCCGGCCGUCUUCCGCGGUCGUUUGUUGACCACCCUCCCUCCGCACCGUGAAGGAAGAAGGAGCGCCGCAGCGUCGGAGCGAGAGAGAAUGAACGUAGUCGAACGAGAUCCCACUGUGAAAUGGACGUUGUUUUUAUAUCAGAAAAAAAAC
This 4849-nucleotide long non-coding RNA is filed under the name Phoenix dactylifera (date palm). Its description in RNAcentral is "long non-coding RNA (PDAC_LNC001076)". Lineage: Eukaryota; Viridiplantae; Streptophyta; Magnoliopsida; Arecales; Arecaceae. The record is from RNAcentral.